UGCAGAGGUCUCAAGCGUUGUUCGGAUUCAUUGGGCGUAAAGGGUGCGUAGGCGGCGCGGUAAGUCGGGUGUGAAAGUCUCCGGGGCUUAACUCCGAAACUGCAUUUCGAAUACUGCCGUGCUUGAGGACUGGAGAGGAGACUGGAAUUUACGGUGUAGCGGUGAAAUGCGUAGAUAUCGUAAGGAAGACCAGUGGCGAAGGCGGGUCUCUGGACAGUUCCUGACGCUGAGGCACGAAGGCCAGGGGAGCAAACGGG
This 257-nucleotide ribosomal RNA is filed under the name uncultured bacterium. RNAcentral describes it as "partial 16S ribosomal RNA". It matches the Rfam family "Bacterial small subunit ribosomal RNA", at positions 524 to 776 of the family's 1533-position model. The record is from RNAcentral.